Solea senegalensis (Senegalese sole) is the source of this 274-nucleotide long non-coding RNA. RefSeq lists it as uncharacterized. The record is from RefSeq and is a predicted model, not a curated record. Lineage: Eukaryota; Metazoa; Chordata; Actinopteri; Pleuronectiformes; Soleidae. The transcript is spliced from 4 exons.
AGGAAGACAGACGUCGGCAGACUAAGCUAGCUUAGCCCCCACUGCUAGCAUGCUAACACAAGUGAAAGACAAGGACGUGCACGAGAAGAAGUCUAUAAAGAAGAUACAGCUAAGCCAAAAAGCGACGGAGGGUUCCGUACAGACAAGCUAAGAAACACGAAGCCCAGCAGAGCAUGAACUGGACGGUGACAAUAAUAACUUCCCGCCUAAGGGAGCGUGCUGUAUAUGGAGGCUUUCAUGCAGCCACUACGGUUCCUGAGGGCAUUCAGCAUGC